RNAcentral lists this small nuclear RNA (93 nucleotides) under Cuculus canorus (common cuckoo). RNAcentral's name for it is "U2 spliceosomal RNA". It matches the Rfam family "U2 spliceosomal RNA". From Rfam's summary of the family: U2 is a small nuclear RNA (snRNA) component of the spliceosome (involved in pre-mRNA splicing). Complementary binding between U2 snRNA (in an area lying towards the 5' end but 3' to hairpin I) and the branchpoint sequence (BPS) of the intron results the bulging out of an unpaired adenosine, on the BPS, which initiates a nucleophilic attack at the intronic 5' splice site, thus starting the first of two transesterification reactions that mediate splicing. Lineage: Eukaryota; Metazoa; Chordata; Aves; Cuculiformes; Cuculidae. The record is from Rfam by way of RNAcentral.
GAUGCUUCUCUGCCUUUUGGCUAAGAUCAAGUGUAGUACCUGUUCUUAUCAGUUUAAUAUCUUAAUCUCUGGGGAUACCUCGCAGUAGCCCUC